RNAcentral lists this unclassified non-coding RNA (337 nucleotides) under soil metagenome. RNAcentral describes it as "partial contains 5.8S ribosomal RNA, internal transcribed spacer 2, and large subunit ribosomal RNA". The stretch from base 3 to 121 matches the Rfam family "5.8S ribosomal RNA", at positions 36 to 154 of the family's 154-position model. The record is from RNAcentral.
GAAUGAAGAACGUAGCGAAAUGCGAUAAGUAAUGUGAAUUGCAGAAUUCAGUGAAUCAUCGAAUCUUUGAACGCACAUUGCGCCCGCCAGUAUUCUGGCGGGCAUGCCUGUUCGAGCGUCAUUUCAACCAUCAAGCCCCCGGCUUGUGUUGGGGACCUGCGGCUGCCGCAGGCCCUGAAAAGCAGUGGCGGGCUCGCUGUCACACCGAGCGUAGUAGCAUACAUCUCGCUCUGGGCGUGCUGCGGGUUCCGGCCGUUAAACCACCUUCAUAACCCAAGGUUGACCUCGGAUCAGGUAGGAAGACCCGCUGAACUUAAGCAUAUCAAUAAGCGGAGGA